This 86-nucleotide transfer RNA is filed under the name Rhodanobacteraceae bacterium. RNAcentral's name for it is "tRNA-Leu". It matches the Rfam family "tRNA". From Rfam's summary of the family: Transfer RNA (tRNA) molecules are approximately 80 nucleotides in length. Lineage: Bacteria; Pseudomonadati; Pseudomonadota; Gammaproteobacteria; Lysobacterales; Rhodanobacteraceae. The record is from RNAcentral.
GCCGGGCUGGCGGAAUUGGUAGACGCCCCUGCCUCAAAAGCAGGUCGCCGCAAGGCAUGAAGGUUCGAGCCCUUCGCCCGGCACCA